RNAcentral lists this ribosomal RNA (374 nucleotides) under uncultured organism. RNAcentral describes it as "bacterial SSU rRNA". It matches the Rfam family "Bacterial small subunit ribosomal RNA", at positions 526 to 896 of the family's 1533-position model. The record is from RNAcentral.
CGGAGGGGGCAAGCGUUGUUCGGAUUUACUGGGCGUAAAGGGUGUGUAGGCGGCUGGGCAAGUCUGGCGUGAAAUCUUCACCGCUCAACGGGAAGGGGUCGCUGGAAACUGCUCAGCUUGAGUAUGGUAGAGGCAAGCGGAAUUCCUGGUGUAGCGGUGGAAUGUUCAGAUAUCAGGAAGAACACCGGUGGCGAAGGCGGCUUGCUGGGCCAUCACUGACGCUGAGACACGAAAGCGUGGGGAGCAAACGGGAUUAGACUACCCCGGUAGUCCACGCUGUAAACGGUGCGCACUAGGUGUGGGGGGUAUCGACCCCUCCCGUGCCGAAGUUAACACAUUAAGUGCGCCGCCUGGGGAGUACGGCCGCAAGGUUG